Long non-coding RNA from Bubalus bubalis (water buffalo), 444 nucleotides. RefSeq lists it as uncharacterized. The transcript has 3 exons. The record is from RefSeq and is a predicted model, not a curated record. Lineage: Eukaryota; Metazoa; Chordata; Mammalia; Artiodactyla; Bovidae.
CCUCAGGCUCCAACCUGCUUCCUGAGUAUGUCCCCACACCAAGCCCCCUUCCCUGUCCUGUCCUCUGUUCUGCGCUCUGUUCCCAUGCACCCGGUGGCAAGGCCCUCCAGGCGACGGACUGAACCUCCCAGACCUGACUAGAGCUUGACUCCAGCGGGCCGCUCCCCCGACCACAUACCGGCAGCAAGCGUUCUGCCCACCCCGACGCCGGGCCGCAGAGACUCAGAGAGCAAAGCCGGGCAGGGCACCGCCCCAGGUCCUCUCCCGGGGCCCGGCUCCGCACAGGAACCCGCAGCGCACAAGCACCUUCAUCUCGGCGUCCGGCGCUGCCCGGCUCGCGGCUGCGGCGUCGGGGGAGUACGCUCGGCGGAGCCAGGGACAGGAGCGCGGGAGGCGAGGAGGGAAGCGGCAGGAGAGCGAGGAGCGGAGCAGGAGGAGCCGCCG